UUGACUGGUUACGCUUUACUAGGGUAGUGGGCCACGUGGAAGUUCUUCUGAGAAAAGGGUACAGGGAAUACUAUUCAUUUUCUUGGAAGUUGAAACUCAUGAUGACAUAUAACUGCGCGCACGUUCUGAUGAGACGUUUUGAAAAAGUUAAUCAUGAUUAACUGACAAACAUGGACUUUUAGGACUAUGAAAGGUCUCUGGUCGAAAUCUGGUAAAUGCAAAAAAUGUCCAUUACUACAGUAAUUUGAAAUAGACAUUUCUU
RNAcentral lists this long non-coding RNA (262 nucleotides) under Lathyrus oleraceus (garden pea). Its description in RNAcentral is "Pisum sativum (pea) long non-coding RNA (PSAT_LNC014874)". Lineage: Eukaryota; Viridiplantae; Streptophyta; Magnoliopsida; Fabales; Fabaceae. The record is from RNAcentral.